Molecule: ribosomal RNA, 239 nt
Filed under: uncultured bacterium
Lineage: Bacteria
Description: partial 16S ribosomal RNA
Rfam family: Bacterial small subunit ribosomal RNA
Source: RNAcentral
UAGUCCACGCUGUAAACGAUGAUGACUAACCGUUGGCGAUAUACAGUCAGUGGCCAAGCGAAAGCGAUAAGUCAUCCACCUGGGGAGUACGGCCGCAAGGCUGAAACUCAAAGGAAUUGACGGGGGCCCGCACAAGCGGAGGAACAUGUGGUUUAAUUCGAUGAUACGCGAGGAACCUUACCCGGGCUCGAACGGCAGGGGAAUUCACAAGAGAUUGUGAAGUCUUCGGACUCCUGUCG